RNAcentral lists this long non-coding RNA (654 nucleotides) under Homo sapiens (human). Its description in RNAcentral is "long intergenic non-protein coding RNA 2831". The record is from RNAcentral. Lineage: Eukaryota; Metazoa; Chordata; Mammalia; Primates; Hominidae.
AGUUGAGAAGCAAUGCUGUUUCACCUCCCUGAGAGAAUUGCCUUGUUUGUGAAAUACUACAGAAAAACCUGUAUUUUCUCCAGAAAAUGAAAGGUCUUGGCCUGAGUAAAUCAAGGCAGAAAACUCACCCCCGUGAAAGCUGCAGCUCUGAGAGUGUGUGGGCAGGGCUUCAACAGAAUACCUGUGGCUGCACUUACAAAAGGCAGCCAGAAGGACCCGUCCAUUCUGGAAAGUACCUUUAGUCUGAAAGCAUUUAUUGCAGAAAAAAUAUGAGGCUUGCUGGUAGUAUUCCCAGGUGACAAAUGUGCACCCAACACCCUACAGAAAAGAAGAACCAUAAAAUAAUUAAUUAUUCCAUUGUAACUCCUGCCUGGAAAACAUCUGAAGUCACUAGAUUCAGCCCACAUUCAAGAUGAGAAAUACCAGAAGGCAGAGAACACUGAGGCUGUUUUAGAGGCUGUCAACCCCAGGGAGACAGACAGCAAAUAAGAUGCUUGGAUGUUUUCACACCACUCUGACACAUGGAUGGAAGGUUAGAAGACAACAAAGGAAUGGGCUGGGAAGGACUCCAAAAGCAGAAUCAGAGAUUAUAUCAUUCCUUGGAAAUGGAGAAAAGGAUCAAAAAAGCUGAAUAAAAGGUAGUCCCAGCAACAA